GCAUACAAAUUCCCAGACGAAAUUAAAAAUAAGUGUAGCACAGGUUGGAUUCAAUUGAAGAUCGGCGUGAGAGAGAAGGAUCAGGCGUGGAAAUUUCCCAUUUGAGAUAAAAGAGAGUGUUGAUUCGACUUUUGAAUUGGGUCACACGCGGACCGUCCCUUUUCAAAGGACGCCGUUUUUUACAAAGGUUUUAAUGCCUCUUUCCCUUCUUCGUUUUUUUUUUUUCAGAUGCAGCCAUCCCUUAACCCAAAUUAACAGCCCCAAAAAAAUAUCAAUUUGUUAGGGUUUCUAGCGCCCGCCGAAUCCACCAUUUCAUUUGGUGGUCGAUGGCGUACCAACGGUGAUGGAUGAUGCCUUUGGAUCCCCUUCCAACUUCGAUCUCAACGAAGUGAACAGAGAUCAAUGGUCGAUUCGCAAGGAAAGGUCGUACACAAGCACGAGCGGAGACGCGCGCGAGGGGCUGGUGGCGCACGUGUGGUGCUGGAGACCGACUGCUAGUUGCGGCGUGAGGGGAGAUAGCUAACUGCUGGUGUUUUCCAGAAACCUCUAGGGUUUCUGGUGUUUUCAGUUAUUGGGCCUUUUUUCGGGUCAUUUUGGGUCUCGGGUUUGGGCUUGUUUAAUGGACUGUUAAUUUGGACUUUAUUUUGGUUUAUUUAUUUAUUUAUUUUGA
Molecule: long non-coding RNA, 670 nt
Organism: Gossypium arboreum
Lineage: Eukaryota; Viridiplantae; Streptophyta; Magnoliopsida; Malvales; Malvaceae
Exons: 2
Source: RefSeq, a predicted model, not a curated record